UACAGAGGUGGCAAGCGUUGUUCGGAAUUACUGGGCGUAAGGGGCGCGUAGGCGGCCAUCUAAGUCAGACGUGAAAUCCCCCGGCUUAACCUGGGAACUGCGUCUGAUACUGGACGGCUCGAGUAUGGGAGAGGGAUGUAGAAUUCCAGGUGUAGCGGUGAAAUGCGUAGAUAUCUGGAGGAAUACCGGUGGCGAAGGCGGCAUCCUGGACCAUUUACUGACGCUGAGGCGCGAAAGCUAGGGGAGCAAAUGGG
This 254-nucleotide ribosomal RNA is filed under the name uncultured bacterium. RNAcentral's name for it is "partial 16S ribosomal RNA". It matches the Rfam family "Bacterial small subunit ribosomal RNA", at positions 524 to 776 of the family's 1533-position model. The record is from RNAcentral.